GGGGCGAUAACUCAGCUGGGAGAGUGCCACCGUCACAUGGUGGAAGUCGCAGGUUCAAGUCCUGUUCGUCCUACCA
RNAcentral lists this transfer RNA (76 nucleotides) under bacterium. RNAcentral describes it as "tRNA-Val". It matches the Rfam family "tRNA". Rfam says of the family: Transfer RNA (tRNA) molecules are approximately 80 nucleotides in length. Their secondary structure includes four short double-helical elements and three loops (D, anti-codon, and T loops). RNAcentral also lists the same sequence under 2 other names. The record is from RNAcentral.